CAAGAUCUUGGUCUUAAAUCCCCUAUUACUUCUUCCCCUAAUUAUACAUGCAAGCCUCACCAUCACAGUGAAAUAGCCCCCCCCCACAGGGCCGGAGCCGGUAUCAGGCAACACAAGCCAACAACACCAAGCCACUUCAAGCCACACCCCCACGGGCAUACAGCAGUAGUUAAUAUUAGGCUAUAAGCGAAAGCUCGACCUAGUAAGGGACCCAAGGGCCGGUUAAUCUCCGUGCCAGCGACCGCGGUUACACGACAGACCCAAAAUAAUACUAAACGGCGUAAAACACGACUAAAUAAAUUGUCCCAUAUUAGAAACGAAAAUAAGCUAGGCUGUAAAAAGCCAUAAGCAACAAUAACUUCACCUAAUAAAAUACACCUUCCACUCGUGAAAGCUAGGAUACAAACUAAGAUUAGAUACCUUACUAUGCCUAGCCUUAACAUAACAAUUAAAUAACCCAUUGUUCGCCAAAUAACUACGAGUUACAACUUAAAAUUUAAAAGACUUGACGGUACCCCACAACAACCUAGAGGAGCCUGUCUAAUAAACGAUACCCCACGAUUAACCCCACCUACCAUAGCCUACCAGUCUAUAUACCGCCGUCGCCAGCCCACCUCCUGAGAGAAUAAAAGUGAGCCAAACAGCUUAUCACUAACACGACAGGUCAAGGUGUAACUAAUGGGUAGGAACAAGAUGGGCUACAUUUUCUACUCAGAACAUACGAAUUAAACUUUGAAAAAACAAUUGAAGGCGGAUUUAGCAGUAUAUUAAAGACAAAACACUUAAUUGAAACCAGCGCAAUGGGGUGCGCACACACCGCCCGUCAUCCCUGCUACCAAAAUUUCACAUUUAUAAUAACUACACACAUACCAACCAGGGCAAGUCGUAACAUGGUAAGCGUACUGGAAAGUGCGCUUAGAAACAA
This 925-nucleotide non-coding RNA is filed under the name Oligodon chinensis (Chinese kukri snake). The record is from RNAcentral. Lineage: Eukaryota; Metazoa; Chordata; Lepidosauria; Squamata; Colubridae.